Molecule: transfer RNA, 72 nt
Organism: Camelus ferus (Wild Bactrian camel)
Lineage: Eukaryota; Metazoa; Chordata; Mammalia; Artiodactyla; Camelidae
Rfam family: tRNA
About the family: Transfer RNA (tRNA) molecules are approximately 80 nucleotides in length. Their secondary structure includes four short double-helical elements and three loops (D, anti-codon, and T loops).
Source: Rfam
GUGGGUUUAGCUCAGUGGUAGAGCACGUGUUUAACAUGCAUGAGGUCCUGGGUUCAGUCCCCAGUACCUCCA